Molecule: ribosomal RNA, 347 nt
Filed under: uncultured Microbacteriaceae bacterium
Lineage: Bacteria; Bacillati; Actinomycetota; Actinomycetes; Micrococcales; Microbacteriaceae
Description: bacterial SSU rRNA
Rfam family: Bacterial small subunit ribosomal RNA
Source: RNAcentral
AGAGUUUGAUCCUGGCUCAGGACGAACGCUGGCGGCGUGCUUAACACAUGCAAGUCGAACGGUGAAGGAGGAGCUUGCUCCUUCGGAUCAGUGGCGAACGGGUGAGUAACACGUGAGCAAUCUGCCCCGAACUCUGGGAUAAGCGCUGGAAACGGCGUCUAAUACCGGAUACGACGCGGGAGGGCAUCCUCUCCGCGUGGAAAGAAUUUCGGUUCGGGAUGAGCUCGCGGCCUAUCAGCUUGUUGGUGAGGUAACGGCUCACCAAGGCGACGACGGGUAGCCGGCCUGAGAGGGUGACCGGCCACACUGGGACUGAGACACGGCCCAGACUCCUACGGGAGGCAGCA